GGGGAAUAUUGGACAAUGGACCAAAAGUCUGAUCCAGCAAUUCUGUGUGCACGAUGACGUUUUUCGGAAUGUAAAGUGCUUUCAGUUGGGAAGAAAAAAAUGACGGUACCAACAGAAGAAGUGACGGCUAAAUACGUGCCAGCAGCCGCGGUAAUACGUAUGUCACAAGCGUUAUCCGGAUUUAUUGGGCGUAAAGCGCGUCUAGGUGGUUAUGUAAGUCUGAUGUGAAAAUGCAGGGCUCAAUUCUGUAUUGCGUUGGAAACUGCAUGACUAGAGUACUGGAGAGGUAAGCGGAACUACAAGUGUAGAGGUGAAAUUCGUAGAUAUUUGUAGGAAUGCCGAUGGGGAAGCCAGCUUACUGGACAGAUACUGACGCUAAAGCGCGAAAGCGUGGGUAGCAAACAGGAUUAGAUACCCUGGUAGUCCACGCCGUAAACGAUGAUUACUAGGUGUUGGGGGUCGAACCUCAGCGCCCAAGCUAACGCGAUAAGUAAUCCGCCUGGGGAGUACGUACGCAAGUAUG
Molecule: ribosomal RNA, 523 nt
Filed under: uncultured bacterium
Lineage: Bacteria
Description: bacterial SSU rRNA
Rfam family: Bacterial small subunit ribosomal RNA
Source: RNAcentral